GUGCUUAACACAUGCAAGUCGAACGGAAAGGCCCUUCGGGGUACUCGAGUGGCGAACGGGUGAGUAACACGUGGGUGAUCUGCCCUGCACUUUGGGAUAAGCCUGGGAAACUGGGUCUAAUACCGAAUACACCCUUCUGGCUGCAUGGUCUGGUUGGGGAAAGCUUUUGCGGUGUGGGAUGGGCCCGCGGCCUAUCAGCUUGUUGGUGAGGUUACGGCUCACCAAGGCGACGACGGGUAGCCGGCCUGAGAGGGUGACCGGCCACACUGGGACUGAGAUACGGCCCAGACUCCUACGGGAGGCAGCAGUGGGGAAUAUUGCACAAUGGGCGCAAGCCUGAUGCAGCGACGCCGCGUGAGGGAUGACGGCCUUCGGGUUGUAAACCUCUUUCGCCAGGGACGAAGCGCAAGUGACGGUACCUGGAGAAGAAGGACCGGCCAACUACGUGCCAGCAGCCGCGGUAAUACGUAGGGUCCGAGCGUUGUCCGGAAUUACUGGGCGUAAAGAGCUCGUAGGUGGUUUGUCGCGUUGUUCGUGAAAUC
This 542-nucleotide ribosomal RNA is filed under the name Mycolicibacterium austroafricanum. RNAcentral describes it as "bacterial SSU rRNA". It matches the Rfam family "Bacterial small subunit ribosomal RNA", at positions 44 to 601 of the family's 1533-position model. The record is from RNAcentral. Lineage: Bacteria; Bacillati; Actinomycetota; Actinomycetes; Mycobacteriales; Mycobacteriaceae.